ACCGGCAGCUCAAGUGGUGGCCAUUUUUAUUGGGCCUAAAGCGUUCGUAGCCGGUUUGAUAAGUCUCUGGUGAAAUCCCGCAGCUUAACUGUGGGACUUGCUGGAGAUACUAUUAGACUUGAGGUCGGGAGAGGUUAGGGGUACUCCCAGGGUAGGGGUGAAAUGCUAUAAUCUUGGGAGGACCACCGGUGGCGAAGGCACCUAACUGGAAUGAUACUGACGGUGAGUAACGAAAGCCAGGGGCGCGAACAG
This 252-nucleotide ribosomal RNA is filed under the name uncultured prokaryote. Its description in RNAcentral is "partial 16S rRNA". It matches the Rfam family "Archaeal small subunit ribosomal RNA", at positions 475 to 726 of the family's 1478-position model. The record is from RNAcentral.